Molecule: long non-coding RNA, 3041 nt
Organism: Numida meleagris (helmeted guineafowl)
Lineage: Eukaryota; Metazoa; Chordata; Aves; Galliformes; Numididae
Exons: 3
Source: RefSeq, a predicted model, not a curated record
UGGUCUGAUCUUCAGCAUCCUCCUGUCCUGCUGGAUUAUGUCAUGAACAGCUCUGCCUGGGGUCAUUUCUGAGGAGAUGUCUUGGGGGAUAGGAUCAUCACCUGUUGUGGACCAGCGUGGCUGCUUCAGUUGUCUAUCCUCGUGUUUGUCAAGAAGGGGACAAAUCCAGGCAAACAGGUGCUGAGACAGUAACAGCAUGAACCAGCUCCCCUUCCUUGGAUAUCAUCAAAACUCAGCAUCCUUCAUGGCCUCCAACAUCGAGGUUCUACAGGACUGAAGAUGGCAUCUGAAUUUUUGUGGUGUGCAGGUUACAUGGCAGAGCAUGUGGGCUUGGAUGGUUUUGCUGUGUGUGUUUGAGGGGCAGCUGGUCCUGAGGACCCCAUGCUUCCUCAGGUACAAUUUCAAAGGAAACCCAAAAUGCAAAGGAGGGGAAAAAAAUGGAACUGUUCUGCCUGGCAUUUGUGCAAACUGGCAGCUCAGCCAUGUUCUCUUGAGCCUUACUGAGUCUGAUCAUUUGUACUUCAAAAUGAAUUAGAGGAGAGUGUUUCGCGAGUUAAAGAAAAUGGAAUCUCCAGGGAAAAGGAAGGCAACCAAAAUAACUCCCAGCUCUGGGCUGGAGUCAGUCAAUGACAAGGCAAAACAAUGGACGUCCUUCUUUCCUUCCUUAAAUAUCAAAAUGCUUCAUAUCAGCAUUCUCAGACUAAAGCAGUUUGCUUUACUGAAGAUCACUGAGUUUAAAGACAGGUUUUCUUCAUUUUUCAGAUGGACUUUAAUUUAAAAGAAGGAAAAGCUGUGGGUUUGAGUUUGACAUUUUAAAGAUUAGAUAGUCUUCAAGCAAACUAGAAUACUUUGUUACUGGUCAGGCAGAAUACUUCUCCUUGACCCAAAAUGAAAUGAGUUUUUCUGGUUGUACUAAAAAUACUUCAUCUUCACCUUGGCUCCAAAACUAGGAUUUUCCACCAAUGCUUUUACUUUAGUGACCAGAAGAAACCCAUCACCCUUGUCUUCACCUUACUGCUGCAGUAGUAAAGGGUCUAAUUUUGGUUGCCCCUACUUUAAUUGGAGCAUUCCUUACUGAACCGCUAAUUUAUUGCUAGCUGAGAUCUUCGACAUCCAUGUUCACAGCCAGGGCGUGGUACAGAUCUCUCUCCAGCGAUCUUGGAUUCCUCAUCAAAGAGCUGCUAAGCCUCCCUGGCCUUCAGCCUGCUUAUUUACAGUCUUUAUAGCUCAGGCUCAGAACUUGCAGUUGAUGCUAGCUAAUGAAGAUUUGGAAAUCUUCAUUAACACAUGUGGCCCUUGUAAACCUUGGGGGUGUCAGUCGGGCCUGCAGUUGUGCCAGGACUUUGCUAAAGAAAAUGCUUCGCUAAAGAAAUGGAGAAACUGCUGUAAAGCAGCUUCUACUAGAACAUUUUGGAAGGCAGCUCCUGCCUUGGAGGGGUGAUUUUCCGAAGUCAUAAAAGGAAGUUACCUUCGAGAGCCUUGGUAAGAACUGAGGUCUCUGCACUUCAGCAAUCCUUUGAAGACCUCCUCCAAAACCCAGUCUCAGUAAAUGGCAGCUUGCUGCAGAGAGAAAGCAUCAAGGUUUUGUGGAAUUCUUUGCUGGUAGCAUGCCAAGGCUGCAUGAGAACUAUAGAAGCAUUAAGAUUGGAAGACACCUCUAAGAUCAUCAAGUCCAACCAUCAAUCCAUCUCCAUCAUGCCCACUGACCACAUCCCUCAGUGCCACAUCUUCAAGGUUCUUGAACACCUCUAGGGAUGGUGUCUCCGCCACUUUCCUGGGCAGCCCAUUCCUGUGCCUGACUACUCUUUCUGAGAAGUGUUUCCUAAUAUCCAGUCUGAACCUCCCCUGGCACAAGUGGAGGCCACCACCUCUCCUCUUACUCUUGCAAGUAGUCAGAGGGCACUGAGGGGUAUUUGGCAUGAUUUUCACAUCAUAUGAUGGUCUGCUGCUGGCUCUGGGCUUGGCAAACAUCCAUCCUUCUGUCUUGCCAUUAGAAGAGGAUGAUUUCCCACGUUGACUGCUGCAAAGCUGGCUGCCACCAGGGAUGGCACAGCCGUGUCUCUGAGUGGAGUGAUGGGGCCGUGACAGCUGCAGGAGGAGGUGGGAAUGGUGUGGGAAGCAUCCUGGUCAUGGGAACAAGACUGAUUUCCAGUGGGCUGGCAACAAUCAUUCAGCACAGAGAGGUCGAAGUUUUUGUACAGCAGCCUGGACCCAUGGGGCAUCUAUGGAUCUGCAUCUCCUCGAGAACUUGUGUGGGGAUCCACACAUCUGAAACCACUGAAAACCACAUCUCAUUAUCCCAGGACUGCACUGACCUCUGCUCUGCCUUGCCUGACAGCUGUUUAUUCUUAAAAAUGUCUGGUGGUGGAGACCCUUGGCUCUUCUGAAGCCAUUUCUCUCAACGUUUUGCUGCCUGAAGUGCUGGGAAGUGCUUCCUCACAUCCAGCUUUCUUCUCCACUUGCCCACCCCAGACUUCUUUACAGCUGCAUUUUAUAUAUGUAAAAACUACUAUCGUGUUGUCUUCCCUGUAAUUCUCUCCCACUGAGACUAAACAACCUCAGUUCGUUCACUUGAGCAUGCAACAACAAGAAGUUUGUUUGUUUGAAAUUGAGUUUUUCUAGUAUAGUGAUUCUAAUAACUCAUUCUAUGCCAAAACUAACAAACAUUUCACAAUUUUCUUUUCAAAUCUCUAGUUUUAUCGAUUGUUUUGACAAUUAAGUUGACAUUUUUUAGCACAGUGGUGAAAAUUAAAGCAAUUGCUUUCUGAUUUCUCUAUAUAUAGUGUUUGAAUUACAACUCAGCCAUUGAGCUAAUUCAGGAAAAUUAAAUGUCAUGAAAUAUUUAACAUGGUUUUUAAAAAGUAUUCAUUUAGAGAUGUCAAAAAGAUGCUUUCUAGAUACUUCGAAAAUAUUAGUUGCAAAAAUAUUUCUUCAGCUAUAUGAAAAUAUAUAGGAAUAAUUCGUCUCUCACACUUGUUUCAUUCCUCAGUUCUGGCUUUGCAAUCCGAAGGGGUAAAUUUAUAGUAUUUGGUAAAUGUAUG